AUGGAUCCAGCAGAUGUGUUGAAUGUGAGGUUCCAUUAUGGGGGUGAGUUCAUCCGUAUUGGCCCAAGCCUUGAUUAUGUUGGGGGUGAUACUGCAAUGUCAGAGAUAGAGAGGGAUAAGCUAUCACUGCCUGAGCUGAAAGGAUUUCUAGGAGAUCAUUUAGCUGUGAAAGAGAGCAUGAAGCUGUAUUUCCUUAUGCCUGGGAGAGAGUUGCUAAAUGGGUUAUUGUUUUUAUAUAUUGAUGAGGGUUGCAUGAGGAUGUCAGAGCAUAUUACAGAUGGAGGUGUUGCUGACAUAUUUGUGGAGUACAAUGGAGAGCAAGAUGAACCACAGGAAGAGGAUACAGAUGAACUGGAUGACCUGCUUAACAAUGGCAGUGAGCUUGAACCAGAUGCAGUUAUUACAGCAGAGGAAGAAGAUGUUGUGCAGGAACAUAUCUUAGUUCCUAAUGAGGGAGGUGUGGUAACUCAAGUGAUAAGUAGCCCUGUGAAGAACAAUUGCAGAACUGAUGAUCUGUCCCAAGGUUCUCAAAUUCUCAAUCCUUCUCAGCCAGUUGCUGCAAGCCAAAUUGUAGCUCCAAUUCCAGAAGAUGCAGGAAAUGGUUCAGAGUCUGAAGAUUCAGAUGAUCCAGAUUAUGUGGCACACACUGAUGACAGUGGAGAGGAGUCAUAG
This 672-nucleotide ribosomal RNA is filed under the name Triticum aestivum (bread wheat). RNAcentral's name for it is "partial small subunit ribosomal RNA". Lineage: Eukaryota; Viridiplantae; Streptophyta; Magnoliopsida; Poales; Poaceae. The record is from RNAcentral.